AUGAGCUGGAUGAUCAUUCUACUGCUGGGAACACCCUUCACACUGAGGAGAACCGGAGCUCAGUCUGUGACCCAGCCUGACGGCCACACCACUGUCUCUGAAGGAGCUGCCCUGGAGCUGAGGUGCAGCUAUACCUACAGUGGAACACCUUAUCUCUUUUGGUACGUCCAAUACCCUGGCCAAAGCCUUCAGUUUCUCCUCAAGUACAUGUCAGGGGCACCCUUGGUUAAAGGCCCCAAAGGCUUUGAGGCUGAAUUUAAGAAGAGUGAAACCUCCUUCCACCUGCGGAAGCUGUCAGCCCAGUGGAGUGACACAGCCCAGUACUUCUGUGCUCUGAGCGACACACUUCUGUAUAGCAGAGGAGUAAUCUGGGGAAUGGGAGAACCUACUUCAAAAUCCUUUAUCUGA
Lepus europaeus (European hare) is the source of this 408-nucleotide non-coding RNA. The record is from the annotation of a RefSeq genome assembly. Lineage: Eukaryota; Metazoa; Chordata; Mammalia; Lagomorpha; Leporidae.